AGGUGCUGCAUGGCUGUCGUCAGCUCGUGUUGUGAAAUGUUGGGUUAAGUCCCGCAACGAGCGCAACCCUUAUCCUUUGUUGCCAGCGAUUCGGUCGGGAACUCAAAGGAGACUGCCGGUGAUAAACCGGAGGAAGGUGGGGAUGACGUCAAGUCAUCAUGGCCCUUACGAGUAGGGCUACACACGUGCUACAAUGGCGCAUACAAAGAGAAGCGACCUCGCGAGAGCAAGCGGACCUCACAAAGUGCGUCGUAGUCCGGAUCGGAGUCUGCAACUCGACUCCGUGAAGUCGGAAUCGCUAGUAAUCGUGGAUCAGAAUGCCACGGUGAAUACGUUCCCGGGCCUUGUACACACCGCCCGUCACACCAUGGGAGUGGGAAGCAAAAGAAGUAGG
Molecule: ribosomal RNA, 394 nt
Filed under: Pantoea sp.
Lineage: Bacteria; Pseudomonadati; Pseudomonadota; Gammaproteobacteria; Enterobacterales; Erwiniaceae
Description: bacterial SSU rRNA
Rfam family: Bacterial small subunit ribosomal RNA
Source: RNAcentral